AAAUGGUUUUUGCGGAGAUCAUAGACAAGUUUUUCGCUAAAAGAAAAAUUUUUUGUCGGAAAAUAUGUAUC
RNAcentral lists this transfer RNA (71 nucleotides) under Drosophila melanogaster (fruit fly). RNAcentral's name for it is "tRNA-Gly". The record is from RNAcentral. Lineage: Eukaryota; Metazoa; Arthropoda; Insecta; Diptera; Drosophilidae.